RNAcentral lists this non-coding RNA (103 nucleotides) under Firmicutes bacterium CAG:631. RNAcentral describes it as "SAM riboswitch aptamer (S box leader)". It matches the Rfam family "SAM riboswitch aptamer (S box leader)". From Rfam's summary of the family: The SAM riboswitch is found upstream of a number of genes which code for proteins involved in methionine or cysteine biosynthesis in Gram-positive bacteria. The SAM riboswitch acts at the level of transcription termination control. Lineage: Bacteria; Bacillati; Bacillota. The record is from Rfam by way of RNAcentral. RNAcentral also lists the same sequence under 1 other name.
CUCUUAUUCAGAACCACUAGAUGGAAGGAAUCGAUGACGUGGUAGCAACCCUUGAAAAAGUAGGUGCUUUAUCCUCAGCGAAGGAAACUUCGAACGAUAAGAG